RNAcentral lists this ribosomal RNA (500 nucleotides) under uncultured bacterium. RNAcentral's name for it is "bacterial SSU rRNA". It matches the Rfam family "Bacterial small subunit ribosomal RNA", at positions 975 to 1482 of the family's 1533-position model. The record is from RNAcentral.
CUGGGCUUAAAUGUNCCUNGACAGCUGGAGAAAUCUGGUCUUUCGCAAGAACGAAGUACANGGNGCUGCAUGGUUGUCGUCAGCUCGUGCCGUGAGGUGUCGGGUUANGUCCCAUAACGAGCGCAACCCUUAUUGUCAGUUGCCAUCAGGUAAAGCUGGGGACUCUGGCGAGACUGCCACCGUAAGGUGAGAGGAAGGCGGGGAUGACGUCAAAUCAGCACGGCCUUUAUGUCCAGGGCUACACACGUGUNACAAUGGCCGAUACAGAGGGCAGCGACUAUGUGAAUAGGAGCUAAUCCGAUAAAGUUGGUCUCAGUUCGGAUCGGAGUCUGCAACCCGACUCCGUGAAGCUGGAUUCGCUAGUAAUCGCGCANCAGCCAUGGCGCGGUGAAUACGUUCCCGGGCCUUGUACACACCGCCCGUCAAACCAUGGGAGUUGGGGGUACCUGAAGUCUGUGACUGAUAAGGAGCGGCCUAAGGUAAAACCAAUGACUGGGGUU